ACCGUUAGUUAAGUCGGUAGAGCGCUCCACUGGAAAUGGAGAGGUCCCGGGUUCGAUACCCGGACCAGGCG
RNAcentral lists this transfer RNA (71 nucleotides) under Ixodes scapularis (black-legged tick). Its description in RNAcentral is "tRNA-Ser". The stretch from base 4 to 65 matches the Rfam family "tRNA", at positions 6 to 65 of the family's 71-position model. From Rfam's summary of the family: Transfer RNA (tRNA) molecules are approximately 80 nucleotides in length. The record is from RNAcentral. Lineage: Eukaryota; Metazoa; Arthropoda; Arachnida; Ixodida; Ixodidae.